Molecule: ribosomal RNA, 378 nt
Filed under: uncultured eukaryote
Lineage: Eukaryota
Description: partial 18S ribosomal RNA
Rfam family: Eukaryotic small subunit ribosomal RNA
Source: RNAcentral
CAAUAGCGUAUAUUUAAGUUGUUGCAGUUAAAAAGCUCGUAGUUGGAUUUCGGGUGGGACGCAGCGGUCUCGCAUUGCGUUUGUGCUGCUGCAGCCCUCCUUCUUGCCGGGGGCGGCCUCUCGGACUUCACUGUCUGGGGGUCAGAAUCGGCGAUGUUACUUUGAGUAAAUUAGAGUGUUCAAAGCAAGCUUACGCUCUGAAUAUAAUAGCAUGGGAUAACACGACAGGACUCUGGCCUAUCGUGUUGGUCUAUAGGACCAGAGUAAUGAUUAAGAGGGACAGUCGGGGGCAUUCGUAUUCCGUUGUCAGAGGUGAAAUUCUUGGAUUUACGGAAGACGAACAUCUGCGAAAGCAUUUGCCAAGGAUGUUUUCAUUGA